Molecule: long non-coding RNA, 308 nt
Filed under: Salvia miltiorrhiza (redroot sage)
Lineage: Eukaryota; Viridiplantae; Streptophyta; Magnoliopsida; Lamiales; Lamiaceae
Description: long non-coding RNA (SMIL_LNC009958)
Source: RNAcentral
AAUCUAACUAACAUUAACAGAUAUGCAACAAUUUCUUUUAUGAACUAAUCGUUAUAAUUUUUGGAUGAUGGAUAUUAUUAAUUAAUUAUACUAUCUAAUUUUUAAGUUAAAACUAAUUAAUUAUUAAUUUGUGAAAAUUUAGUCUGUAAUAUAUUAGCUAGGGUAUCCAAAACUAUAAUAUAAUAAUGAAAUUACCACUAUAAGUUAUGAAAUUGAAAGGAAUAUAACUAAGAUAAUAAUUUAUUGUAAUAUAAUAGAUUGGUUACGUUGUCUGGUUAAUUUAUAAAAAUAUAGUAUAGCUAGUGCAA